UAAGGGACAAGAGAGAGAGAGAGAGAGAGAGAGAGAGAGAGAGAGAGAGAGAGAGAGAGAGAGAGAGAGAGAGUUUUAUCAUUAUUAACAGUAUUUGUGGUUAUUGCUCUUCACCUCCACACCUAUGGACGUAAGCUUACAGGCCCUGGCAUCUGUACUACGACCGCAUUAGAUUCACGGUAAUUAUAGAUUAUUUAUUAUUAUUUAUUCAGACAUAAAUGAUGUACCUUCUGUGUGUGUGUGUGUGAUUCACCGAGGGUCGUGUGGUGGUCAGCCAGCCAGCCGUUCCCCUACAGAAAGAGGUCAGAGGUCAUAGUGAGCGAUCUUUGGGCAGGACUGAGGCCAGUGACACGCCACACGCCGGGACAGCGAGGCCACAAGCCCUCGGCCUACACCCAGCGCCUGCCUGCCCCGCGUCACACUGCCUACACAGCGACAGCCUCGCCCAUCUGCCUCGCCGCUCCCGGGAUUCAAACCCUGCCCUUCUUGGUUGUGAGAUGAGCGUGUUAACCACUACACUACGCGCACACAAAGAUGAGUCACUGUAUUGAGAGAUGUUAUCGAGAUGGUAGCGAGUGACUGGAGCCCCUUUUCCUAGCGUCUGGGUUAGGGCGUAGGCAGUUGAACAAUGGAGGUGCAUUGUGGGUGAAGAUGUGGUCGAGUGUGUUCUGUCGCUGUAUUGUGAGAUGUCUUGCUGAGUCUGUUACUUUGCUGGUGUGUUGAGUGAAACUGACAUCACUGCAUUUUUGCUGCCAACAUUUACGAUGAAACAAUGUGCAGAGUGUGCAUGGAGGCAAUGAACGAUAAUUAGUGAGAGAAAAAGUAGGUUUUCUGUUCCCCUGUGGCAUGCCCACUGCACUGUAAACAAGUGGUUUUGCUCCGCCUUCCACCUUCUGCCUUGACUUGUGUGCUGCAAAAGCCUUGAAGAAAGUGAUGAGUGGGUGUGGUGCUUGUGGUGAGAGUGUGGCCAACAGGCAGAGGCCUGUGGCAUGCGAGAGAAGCGAGUGGCCUGUGCUGGGGUGAGGGAGGCCAACACGAAGGCGCUGCUGGGCUUCUCUCUAGCUUGUGGCCUUCCUGUGCAGGGAAUGCCCGAGUAACAGCCGCACUGAAUGGAGGAGCCAGGAUGAUGAAGAAGAAGAAAGAACAGUGGCGUAAGUAGACAUUGGAGCCAUAAUCAAAAUUUUAAAUGAUCUCAAUUAAGUAUUUUGUGAUAAAGUAUUGCAUCUUUGACCGUGAUUGCGCUAUUUUGCUCCCAAAGACGUUCUGUAAGCCAACAUGACACAAGAGGUCAUCAGUACAAGAUUGCUCAAGUGACAACACGCAAACGGUUCUUGUGUCAGAGGAACUGUACUUUAAAACUUCCCCAGAAUGUUGCUUCGGCCAAAACAUUGUCUGGUUUGAAGGCGUCCCUUUCGGCUCACCUUCGCGACCGUCUUUUUGAAUUUAUGUAACUUUUUGUUCUACUGGUGCACAUGAAGCACCGUCCAGCUAAUUGUGAAGAUUUGUGAAGAACCUAGCACAUUAUAGUGAUAGGCUGGCGCAUGAGCUGAGUGGGAUGUAGGCAAAAUUCUUAGGAUCAGCAACCAGGGUAGAACAAGAAAUAACGGGUUCAAGCUUGAAAAAUUUAGGUUUAGGAAGGGGAUAGGAAAAACCUGGUUCUCAAAUAGAGUGGUAGAUGAGUGGAACGGACUCAGUAAUCAUGUUGUUAGUGCUAGGACACUAGAGAGCUUUAAGAGAAGAUUAGACAAGUUUAUGGAUGGGGAUAAUAGAUGGAAAUAAGUUAAUUUCAUAGAGGGACUGCCACGUGUAAGCCUGGUCGCUUCUUGCAGCUUACCUUAUUUCUUGUGUUCUUAUGUUCUUAUGAGUGUGGCUUCUGCUGUGGGCACCUGGGUCAGUCCCGGGUGCAGGGAACCCCACCAGGUGAGGCUGAAAUGUAUAAGCGGCGGUAAUUCAUUGGCCUAAUAUAGGAAUUAGUAAAAUAGAGAUGUUGGCCUCAUGCUGGGUAUACAUCACUGGCCAGGCUUUGAGUAACAAUUUGACCACCGCAAACUGCUGGAAACAGAGAACUUGACAGAGCGGGCCAGUGCUGGGAACCAAAAUUUACGCCACUACCAGAGCGUUUCUUGAUCAGCAGUCUCCGAGUCAUCCCGGCCUUCCAGAACACUCUCAACUUUAUCUUAGAGGUUUUGUUAGCACUCAGUAAACGGUCUGGUUAAAUGUGCAGUCUGAUGUUAUCCUGGAAAUGGUUACAAGCAGGCAGGUAGAUGGGCCCCGCAACAAGAGUGAGGGCCGAUGCAUCGUGAUGAGUUGUACCAGAUGCCUUGAAAAAUUAAAGACGAGAAUUCCAGGUUUUCAGAACAGGACAGUGACACGUAUAUUAAAUUCAUAAUGAGACAGGUUAGAGUUGUGAUCUUAUGAAGGGAAAUAGAUGAUGUCAGCGUCUGCCUGUGACCCCAAACUAGUUGAUUGUAUACCUGUGAUGUAAUUAUUGUGAAAGCUGAUAAACACUUUUUUUGAGGUACAGGUGAUGGGGUUUCUCGUCACAUGUACUAGUGUGUGUGUGUGUGUGUGUGUGUGUGUGUGUGUGUGUACAACAUAGAUAUGUCUGUAGUAGGAUAUGACAAGGCUGAUAAAUAUGAGGUACAAUAAUUAUUCCCCCAACUCAUCAAAAAAAAAAAAAAAUUAUCAUUAUUAUCUGACACCCCCAGGUAAACUUAGUGUUAGGUUAGGUUAAGUGAGGAGUCUAACCAAGAGUACUGGGGUGGCAGAUCUUCGUCAUACUGGAUGGUUUGCGAGUUCAUAUAUAGAUAGAUAACACCAUGACAAACAUUCCACAUUUUCUUUAUCAUGUCGCAUUGUAAUUGAUAAGAGAUGCACAGUAUAUUUUAGCACAGAUUCAGGACUUUGUUAAUUGUAGUUUUUAUCAAGUAUAUCAAGUGACAUUUGGGUAAUUUGAGUUUGUGUGUGAAAGAUAAGCUUGACAAUGUUUAGCCUUGAAAUCACAGUUCAGGGAAGGUAGGGAAGUCAGUGGCUGGCCUUACUCCAGGUCCAGCUCUGUGGAGGAGUGACCGCAAGCCUGCAAGAGGAAGUUUGGUUAGCGCAACACCAUUGAUGAGUGUGAUUGGCUGUCUGCAGAGUGGGAAGCAUGACAAGAAUGCCACCAUGCCAAGAAGUGAAAGACUCGGUUGACAAAAGCAGGUGACCAAGAGUGCACUGCAGCAAGGAAGUCUUUCUCGUUGUAAAGAAAAAAAGUAGUCAAUGAAAACGUAAUCAUUGAAUAACUAAGCAUUUUGCAGAUCAGUAGGUGUGUCUGAGGAGCUGAACCCACAUGACGGAUUCCCUAGAACUGCUGGCUUUGCUGAAGUGUUGACAUUUUUUGGACCGACCAGUGAUGCUCGUUGCAACAAGAGUCACACCUCAAACCCCAAGGAAUGCCAAGAUGCGCCUUUCCCCAGGUCUGCAGGGUGGUCUGCAGGGCGCGAGGUGCGCACUGGAGUAUGCAGUGGCCAUCUCAAUUCGGUGUGAUGCUGAUGGGAGACCCUGCAGGCCUGAGGAACGCCUUCAGACAGAGGACACUCAAGAGCUGUGAAGGAGCAUGUUUGUGCACAGCUGACAUCCAGGAAUGGUUUUGCUUCGCCACAAACACUGGACACUGCUGGCUUGAGCGACGCAGCCAGACUGGCCGAGGUUCAAGCCCAAUGCAGGUCUUUGAACUGGAUGGCUGGAGCUGCCUCAGAGAAGACCGAGAGGUAUGUCAGAGGAAUUGCUGGUGAUAAUUUCAACGUAAAUGAUCUUUGAGCUGUUUGCCAAGCCCUGAAGCUCUGCUCCGAGCCUACAACUCGGGUGAGCAGCUCUGUGCGAACAGCCAAUGGCCGGGCACUAUUGGACGCAGAAGAAUGCUGCUGCAGCGCUCGUUGGCUCGAGUACUUAGGGCUGCUGUACAGGGUUGAGCCUCCAAGUGGUCUGCUUCCCCUGGUGGAUGAGCAGGGGGCAGGUGCCGGCACACUAGUCACUGUUGCUACUCCUUCCAUUGCCGAGGUGAGGAAGGUUGUGGGAGAGCCGAGUGGUGGGAGGGCUGCUGGGACGCACGGCAUCAGCGGGAGGCGAGUCUGUGCUCCGAGGGCUGCUUGUGGUCACUAAGGAUGCUGUCUUCUGUAAUUAAAGGCUUAUUAGAUUAUCCACUUCUUGUAAUUAAGGGAUCAGUAGUUAUUUCUCUGGGGUGGAAGGGAACGCACCUCACUACUGACUUUAUUAAACGUUGUGUGUUGACUGAGUUGUGACAAGUUAACAACGCUGUCUUGUGUCAUGAAGAGCUGGGGUGUGUUGUCUCUCCAAGGCUGGAGGAGAACAUGGCUGCACCUCAAGUGGAGCCGCUCCAGCCACUCCCUGCAAGUCUUCCACACUGAUUUGAAGAAAGUCACUACACUUUCCAAGAACCCAGCGACUUUUUCCUGUUUGUCUCUGUGAACACAAGAAAUGAGGGAAGGUGCAACAAGUGACCAGACUUACAAGUGGCAGUCCUUGUAUGAAAUAUACCAGCACACAGUUCAUUGAAACUUUGAUCUGGAGUUGACAAGCGCAGUCAAGUUUCCACCCUCCAGCACCAAGAACAGCCUUCCUCCACGAACUGUCUGACUGCUGGGACUUGGAGGCGGAUGAAGCAGUGCCAUCCAGAUCGCGCACCUCAAAAAAUGUCAACACCAUCAUGACUAAUCCAGUUUUUUAAUGCAGAUUGAUCUGGAUGGAGUGGCAUUCUCACUACAGACUGGAGACCCAUUCACUUAAAGGACCCGGUUGGAGUUGGACACAAAAUUCAAGAGCAGAUUUUCAGCCGUUACAAUAUCUUAAAUCUUCUGAUAAGAUUUAAAUUGGGUAAUGUUGGGUUUGCUGUAGUGAAUCACCAAGACACAAGUCCAUGCAUGUGUCUGUGAUGUAAGGAGGGUAGAAAUGUCUCCCUUCACACCACAGGAGGCAGCACCACCGUGGCAGGACCCCAGAGUCAGGUGCUGUGCUGCGAGGAGACAAACAGCAGCAGUAGUAAAAGAAUCCAUUGGUGGUGGUGGUGGUGGUGGUGCAGCUGUCCACUCCUCCAAAGCGGCUGUCUUGCCUCAACAUGCUGUCUUCCCCCCACCUGCAAUGAACAACACCUCUCCUGUGAUGAGCAACACUGAGUAACACCUCUCCCCUGCAUCAGCAACACUCAGCAACACCUCUCCUGUGAUGAGCAACACUCAGCAACAUCUGCUUCUCUUCACACAUUCAUUCAAGCCUCUCUCUCUCUCUCUCUCUCUCUCUCUCUCUCUCUCUCUCUCUCUCUCUCUCUCUCUCUCUCUCUCUCUCUCUCUCUCUCUCUCUCUCUCUCUCUCUCUCUCUCUCUCUCUCUCUCUCUCUCUCCACAGCCCCACAGCAUGUCCCCCACAUCAUGUUUAUAAACCCACAGUGACCACACACACACACACACACACACACACACACACAGCAUUACAUAUACAAACAGUGCAUCUUGUACAGUGCCUAUAUUAAAGAAUGAACACAGAAAAUGGA
Molecule: long non-coding RNA, 5544 nt
Organism: Scylla paramamosain (green mud crab)
Lineage: Eukaryota; Metazoa; Arthropoda; Malacostraca; Decapoda; Portunidae
Exons: 4
Source: RefSeq, a predicted model, not a curated record